UACGUAGGUGGCAAGCGUUGUCCGGAUAUAUUGGGUUUAAAGGGUGCGUAGGCGGCGAUCUAAGUCAGUGCUGAAAUAUCCCGGCUUAACCGGGAGGGUGGCAUUGAUACUGGGUUGCUUGAGUAAAGUUGAGGUAGGCGGAAUUGACGGUGUAGCGGUGAAAUGCUUAGAUAUCGUCAAGAACACCAAUAGUGAAGACAGCUUACUAAACUUUAACUGACGCUGAGGCACGAAAGUGUGGGGAUCAAACAGG
Molecule: ribosomal RNA, 253 nt
Filed under: uncultured bacterium
Lineage: Bacteria
Description: partial 16S ribosomal RNA
Rfam family: Bacterial small subunit ribosomal RNA
Source: RNAcentral